GACGAACGCUGGCGGCGUGCUUAACACAUGCAAGUCGAACGGAAAGGCCCUGCUUUUGUGGGGUGCUCGAGUGGCGAACGAGUGAUUAACACGUGAGUAACCUGCCCUUGACUUUGGGAUAACUUCAGGAAACUGGGGCUAAUACCGGAUAGGAGCUCCUGCUGCAUGGUGGGGGUUGGAAAGUUUCGGCGGUUGGGGAUGGACUCGCGGCUUAUCAGCUUGUUGGUGGGGUAGUGGCUUACCAAGGCUUUGACGGGUAGCCGGCCUGAGAGGGUGACCGGCCACAUUGGGACUGAGAUACGGCCCAGACUCCUACGGGAGGCAGCAGUGGGGAAUAUUGCACAAUGGGCGGAAGCCUGAUGCAGCAACGCCGCGUGCGGGAUGACGGCCUUCGGGUUGUAAACCGCUUUCGCCUGUGACGAAGCGUGAGUGACGGUAAUGGGUAAAGAAGCACCGGCUAACUACGUG
RNAcentral lists this ribosomal RNA (468 nucleotides) under uncultured bacterium. RNAcentral describes it as "partial 16S ribosomal RNA". It matches the Rfam family "Bacterial small subunit ribosomal RNA", at positions 28 to 507 of the family's 1533-position model. The record is from RNAcentral.